RNAcentral lists this ribosomal RNA (515 nucleotides) under uncultured bacterium. RNAcentral's name for it is "bacterial SSU rRNA". It matches the Rfam family "Bacterial small subunit ribosomal RNA", at positions 8 to 518 of the family's 1533-position model. The record is from RNAcentral.
AGAGUUUGAUUACGGCUCAGGAUGAACGCUAGCGGCAGGCUUAACACAUGCAAGUCGAGGGGCAGCGGGUUGUAGCAAUACAAUGCCGGCGACCGGCGAAAGGGUGAGUAACGCGUGAGCAACAUGCCCGAUACUGGAGGAUAGUCGAUGGAAACGUCGCGUAAUACUCCGUAACAACAGGGACCGCAUGGUUUUUGUUUAAUAGAUUUAUCGGUAUCGGAUUGGCUCGCGUCCCAUUAGGCAGUUGGCGGGGUAACGGCCCACCAAACCGACGAUGGGUAGGGGUUCUGAGAGGAAGGUCCCCCACAUUGGAACUGAGACACGGUCCAGACUCCUACGGGAGGCAGCAGUGAGGAAUAUUGGUCAAUGGCCGAGAGGCUGAACCAGCCAUGCCGCGUGCGGGAGGACGGCCUAUGGGUUGUAAACCGCUUUUGUUGGGGAGCAAUAAGGAGCACGUGUGCUUCGAUGAGAGUACCCAGCGAAUAAGCAUCGGCUAACUCCGUGCCAGCCGCCGC